CUGGUAAGUUUCCUCCAAGCUGAAACCUUAUACCUGAUAGCAAUCCUUAACAGGCUUUUGGUGCAAAGUUGGCCUCAGUAUCUGUAUUGGGUUUGCGUGGCAAGGUUUUGGUAGCAGGGGGGGCAACAGGGGUGGCUUCUGUGAGAAGCUGCUAGAAGCUUCCCCCAUGUCUGACAGAGCAAAUGCCAGACGGCUCCAAGACGGACCCACCACCAGCCAAGGCCGAGCCCAUCAGGAACGGUGGUAGCACCUCUGGGAUAAAAUAUUUAAGAAGGGGAAAAAAGUUGUGGCAGGCACAGAAACUGCAGCUGGAGACAGGAGUGAGAACAUACAAGAGGAACAACCCUGCAGACCGCCACGUCAGUGUAGAAGGACGGAGAGGAGAUGCUCCAGGCACUGGAGCAGAGAUUCCCCUGCAGCCCGUGGAGAAGACCAUGGUGAGGCAGGCUGUCCCCCUGCAGCCAGUGGAGGUCCACGGUGGAGCAGAUAUCCACCUGCAGCCCAUGGAGGACCCCACGUCGGAGCAGGUGGAUGCCCAAAGGAGGCUGUGACCGUGGGAAGCCCGCGCUGGAGCAGGCUCCUGGGAGGACCUGUGGCCCCGUGGAGACAGGAGCCCACACUGGAGCAGGUUUUCUGGCAGGACCUGUGACCCCGCAGGGGACCCACGCUGGAGCAGUCUGUGCCUGAAGGACUGCAGCCCAUGGAAGGGACCCACGCUGGAGCAGUUUGUGAAGAACUGCAGCCUGUGGGAAGGACCCCAAGCUGGAGCAGGGGAAGAGUGAGGAGUCCUCCCCCUGAGGAGGAAGGAGCAGCAGACACAAGGUGUGAUGAACUGACCCCAACCCCCAUUCCCUGUCCCCCUGCAGCACUGAGAGGAGGAGGUAGAGGAUUCAGGAGUGAAGCUGUGCUCAGGAAGAAGGGAGGGGUGGGGGGGAAGGUGUUUUAAGAUUUGGUUUUAUUUCUCAUUACCCUACUUUGGUUUAAUUGGCAAUAAAUUAAGUUAAUUUUCCCCAAGUCGAGUCUGUUUUGCCCAUGACGGUAAUUGGUUGAGUGAUCUCCCUGUCCUUAUCUCGACCCACAAGCCUUUUGUUAUAUUUUCUCUCCCCUGUCUAGCCAAGGCAGGGGUCGUGAUAGAGUGGCUGUGUGGUGCUUAGUUGCUGGCUGGGGUUAAACCACGGCAGUAUCCUAUACAAGUCUCCCAACUUCUUUAAUUACUUUGAUACUUAUAAGGAAGAGAUGUGUUUAAAAAAAAAAAAAAGCAUCACAAAGGACCCUGUGUUUUCCUGUCCCAUGCUGAAGAAGCUAAUAAAUUGCAUGAUCCCAAGAAAUCAAGAGAAGAGCGAGCCACAGUAGUGUCGUGGAAGUAGUAGGUAGCGCUGAUCACCUCACCAUUGCAGCACUGGCCAGGACGGAGCUGCGCUAAUUGCUGCCCUUGAUAUCAGUAGCUCCAGGGCUUAGCCUCUAUUCAGAUGAAGCCAGUUUCUAACAAAGCUCCCAAACAGUAUUUUACUACUGAGGAGAUUUGUUACUCUCUUUUAGGGGUAGUUUUUCUCUUUUACGUUCUCAUCAGACUGCCUUGCGUGUUCUUUGUAGUUUCACUGGUUGCCAGUCAUUGAGAAGUACAUGUGAUGUGUCACUACUUCCUCAUCCAUCUUUGCAUCAGAUAGCUGUCCAAUUAUACUUAGACUACUCAGAAAUCUACAGUGUCUUUACUUUCACUGCUGUCUGACCACUGUCCACAUAUUUGGGUGGCUCCAUCUUACUACAGAGGGACAACGUCCUCUGCCCAUCCCAAACUCCAGAUGCUUUCCAGCUCUUACAUUCUUCAUCUUCCUGCCACCUUGUUCCCAUGUAGUGGCCAUGUGUAAUCACUUCCAUGUCAUGUGUCGCUACACAUCACCUGAUUUACUAGAUUUUGUUGUUCUUCCUAGGAAAAUGAUAUUCUGAAUAAAAAGGAUUUGCCUUUUGGAAGGUUUUCACGCCCAUUUAGUAAUAACACAGGAUGUAGUGUACUCUAGGCCCACAGUACAUCCAUCUACCUACCCAGAAUCAGACCCAGUACAGGCAAAUGCAGACAACCUCCUCAUAGGGAAAUGCAUCUGUCAGACAGUGGCAGCUUUGGUACAGUAGCAUGGACCUUCAUACACCAUAAGAACAUUCACAGCUUCCUUUCUAUAUGGGUGUGAACGCACUCAUCGCUCAUAAAAGUUCAAACUUUGUAGAAAUCCUACUCACGCAAAAGAGCUUUUUGCUCCCACUCACCUUGUGGGAGUGAAGUCCAACUGCGAAAUCCUUUCUUUUAUGUAGAAGGAUUUUCCCUUGAUAAGUUUUCUAUUUGAUAUCCUUUUGAUUUCACAAUAUGUCUUCUCCUUCUCGUAUUCUGAAAUAGUAAAUAAAAGCAGUUCAUUUCCUCUCUUUAUAUUUUUUGUACUGUACAAAAAUUUCUAUUGUAUCUCAGAUUUGUCUCCCUCCAAACAUUGAACUGUUUUCUGCCUCUUCCUACCAAAGCAAUGGAUACUAAUAAUUUCCGGAACCUCCAUAUUUCUACUAGGCUUUUUUAAUCUUGGUAGAUGUUGGUUUUUCACGUUUUUUAUCUUAAGUGAGGGCACUCCUGCUCAGAAAAAAGCAUGAAAAUCCUCCACACAAUAUCUGAUCAGUACUUACUGCUAGCCCUUAUCUAGAUGGCUUUUUAAUUAAGAUCCAUCUGACUUCAAACAGACACAAUUAAAGGCUAUAGCAGAAGAAAUCAAGCUGAAUCAACCGCUACACUAUUUUAAAGUAUAUUUGCAAUUAUUAAAAG
Molecule: long non-coding RNA, 2800 nt
Organism: Harpia harpyja (harpy eagle)
Lineage: Eukaryota; Metazoa; Chordata; Aves; Accipitriformes; Accipitridae
Exons: 3
Source: RefSeq, a predicted model, not a curated record